Molecule: long non-coding RNA, 215 nt
Filed under: Gossypium raimondii (Peruvian cotton)
Lineage: Eukaryota; Viridiplantae; Streptophyta; Magnoliopsida; Malvales; Malvaceae
Description: long non-coding RNA (GRAI_LNC006385)
Source: RNAcentral
ACAGCCUUUUGAUGUCUUCUAAUAGCCUUGAAUUAAUGAGGUGAUGGUUGAGCUAAAAUGGCUGAAUAGAAUUGUUUAGAUUGGCCUAAAUUCAUCCAACUUGUGUGAAAGCCCUUAUGGUUGCUUGGGGAACUCAAAGGCCAACUUGGGGAAAAGAAUGGAAUGGGCGGCACUUUAAAAGUAUUGGAAAACCCGAGGAAGGCAUUUACAGCAGC